Ataeniobius toweri is the source of this 94-nucleotide non-coding RNA. Lineage: Eukaryota; Metazoa; Chordata; Actinopteri; Cyprinodontiformes; Goodeidae. The record is from the annotation of a GenBank genome assembly.
GUGGCGGUGGUGCAGUGGUAAAGAGCACUACCCAUUUACCGAGGCUGCAGUCCUUGAGGCAGCAGUUACGGGUUCGAGUCCCAGCCCGUUGACC